Molecule: unclassified non-coding RNA, 668 nt
Filed under: Pleurotus ostreatus (oyster mushroom)
Lineage: Eukaryota; Fungi; Basidiomycota; Agaricomycetes; Agaricales; Pleurotaceae
Description: sequence contains ITS1, 5.8S rRNA gene, ITS2
Source: RNAcentral
CUACCUGAUUUGAGGUCAAUUGUCAAAUUGUCCUUGCGGACGAUUAGAGAGCUGGACUCUAUUCAUGCGUGCUAUUGAUGAGUGAUAAUUAUCACAUCAUGCGCAGAGGCAAUGAGAAGUCCUGCUAAUGCAUUUAAGAGGAGCCGACCUGUCAAGGCCAGCAGCCCCCAACAAUCCAAACAUCACAAUUGGAAAAAAACCAAAGUGAGUUUGAGAAUUUAAUGACACUCAAACAGGCAUGCCCCUCGGAAUACCAAGGGGCGCAAGGUGCGUUCAAAGAUUCGAUGAUUCACUGAAUUCUGCAAUUCACAUUACUUAUCGCAUUUCGCUGCGUUCUUCAUCGAUGCGAGAGCCAAGAGAUCCGUUGUUGAAAGUUGUAUUAUGGUUUAAAGGCACAAGGCCCAUUAAAUGACAUUCGUAGACAUACAUUUGGGGUGUGUAAAUAAAUAAAAUGGGGAGGCCCCCCCAAACCGUUAAAUCCCCCCAACCCAAUCUGAGAACAUGAGAAACAACUUCUCACAUCUAUAAAAAGAUCACACGGGGGUGAAAAACUAUAGAAAAGUGCGCAUGCCCCUCUAGAGCCGCGCCAACACCCUAUAGAAAACAUUUAAGAGCCCUUCCCACGGGCACCCCCCGAAAAACUGUGACAACAUUUACUUCCAAAAAAA